Molecule: RNA transcript, 4477 nt
Organism: Onychostruthus taczanowskii (white-rumped snowfinch)
Lineage: Eukaryota; Metazoa; Chordata; Aves; Passeriformes; Passeridae
Gene: MORC2
Gene name: MORC family CW-type zinc finger 2
Exons: 26
Source: RefSeq, a predicted model, not a curated record
CAGGGGGCGGGGCGGGGCGGGGCGGGCUCGAGGCGCGCGCGGCCGCCGGUGCAUGCGGCGCAGGCCCAGGCCCGAUGGCGACCACUAGCGCCAUGUCCCUGGGUAAUUACAGCAGCUUGAACCGGGCCCAGCUUACCUUCGAAUACCUGCACACCAACUCAACUACCCAUGAGUUCUUGUUUGGUGCCCUUGCUGAACUUGUAGAUAAUGCCAGAGAUGCAGAUGCCACAAGAAUAGACAUUUAUACUGAGCGACGAGAGGACCUACGAGGAGGAUUCAUGCUAUGUUUUUUAGAUGAUGGAACAGGAAUGGAUUCAAAUGAAGCUGCCAGUGUUAUCCAGUUUGGUAAAUCAUCCAAGCGAUCACCUGAGUCCACUCAAAUCGGGCAGUAUGGGAACGGCUUGAAAUCGGGUUCCAUGCGGAUUGGGAAGGAUUUUAUCCUGUUCACAAAGAAAGAUAACACCAUGACUUGCCUCCUCUUAUCACGGACGUUCCAUGAGGAAGAAGGCAUUGACGAGGUCAUCGUUCCCCUACCCACCUGGAACGCACGGAGCCGUGAACCCGUGACGGACAACAUGGAGAAAUUCGCUAUUGAGACGGAGCUCAUUUACAAGUAUUCCCCUUUCAAAUCAGAACGGGAGGUGAUGGACCAGUUCAAUAAGAUACGUGGUGAGAAAGGCACCCUGGUGAUCAUCUUUAACCUCAAACUAAUGGAUAAUGGAGAGCCCGAGCUGGAUGUGACUUCUGACCCUCAAGAUAUUCAGAUGGCAGAAACACCCCCAGAGGGAACCAAGCCGGAGCGCCGCUCCUUCCGUGCCUAUGCUGCUGUGCUUUACAUUGAUCCCAGGAUGAGGAUCUUCAUCAAUGGACACAAAGUACAAACCAAGCGACUCUCAUGCUGCCUCUACAAGCCAAGGAUGUACAAAUACACUUCAAACCGUUUCAAGACCCGUGCAGAGCAAGAGGUGAAGAAAGCAGAGCACAUGGCGAGGAUAGCGGAAGAGAAAGCUCGUGAGGCGGAGAGCAAAGCCCGUGCCCUCGAGUUACGCCUCGGAGGGGAUCUCACGCGGGAGUCCAGGGUGACAUUGCGUCAGGUCCAGAACUCGGCCAUCACCAUGCGGCGGGAGGCUGACGUCAAGAAAAGGAUUAAGGAUGCAAAGCAGCGGGCACUGAAGGAGCCCAAGGAGCUGAAUUUUAUCUUUGGGGUGAACAUUGAGCAGCGCGAGCUGGAUGGCAUGUUCAUUUAUAACUGCAGUCGGCUGAUCAAGAUGUAUGAGAAGGUGGGCCCACAGCUGGAGGGUGGCAUGGCAUGUGGAGGAGUGGUAGGCGUGGUGGAUGUGCCCUAUUUGGUUCUGGAGCCAACCCAUAAUAAACAAGACUUUGCUGAUGCCAAGGAGUAUCGACACUUGCUGAAGGCCAUGGGAGAGCAUUUGGCUCAGUAUUGGAAGGAUGUUGCAAUAGCCCAGAGAGGUAUCAUCAAGUUCUGGGAUGAAUUUGGUUAUUUAUCAGCAAACUGGAACCAGCCUCCAUCUAGUGAACUGCGCUACAAGCGCAGGAGAGCCAUGGAGAUCCCCACCACAAUUCAGUGCGAUGUCUGUCUGAAGUGGCGGACUCUCCCGUUCCAGCUGAGCUCAGUGGAGAAGAACUACCCUGAUAGCUGGGUGUGCUCCAUGAACCCUGAUCCUGAACAAGACAGAUGUGAGGCUGCAGAGCAGAAGCAGAAGGUACCACUGGGAACUCUAAAAAAAGACUUGAAAUCAAAUGAGGAAAAGCAGAAACAACUGACAGAGAAAAUCCGCCAGCAGCAGAAAAAGCUGGAAGCUCUGCAGAAAACCACUCCAAUUCUAUCUCAAGCUGACUUAACGAGACUGCCUCUGGAAGUGACUACACGGCCUUCAAGGGAGCACACCCGAACUCAGCGCCCACGAUCUCCUCCUUUGCCUGAUGUAAUCAAGAAUGCUCCCAGCAGGCCACCAGGAUCUUCACCUCCUCACAAGUCCUGCACUCACCUGAAAAAGAGCUCUUUAGAUCGUCCAAAUACCAGCUCCCCCAAGCUAGCCAGCAGGCUCUUCAAGGAGGAGGCCAGCACUUCCAGGACACACCAUCACACUGUGACAGCUGGGAAGUCCAACAGCACUUUAAAAACUCUUGCCAAACCAGGUACAAGCAUGAAGUCGCGCUCUGGCCAACAGAGCCCCAAAAGCUCACGUGAGACACCCAAUCCAAAAGCAGCCAAGGUGCCAGCAGUAAGGAAAUCUGCCUCUGGCAGAUGUUUACAGGCCUCCAGCACUCGAAAGAGGGCCUUGAACAUCCCAGAGGAUGGCUCUGAGGAGGAGGGUGAGCCCAAAAAGGAGAGGACAAAACGAGGAAAAUUUUUGGCAGUGAAAGAGGAGAAGGAUUCCAAUGAGGUGGUGGUAGAGCUCACAGACAGUGCUGGAGAGGAGGAGUUGUUGGAACUGAAGAAAGCACAGAAAGAUAAGGGGCUGCACGUGGAAGUGCGUGUGAACAAGGAAUGGUUCACAGGGCGUGUCACAGCAGUGGAAAGGGUCAGGCAUGCAAUCCGGUGGAAGGUGAAGUUUGAUUAUGUACCUACAGACACCACACCAAGGGAUCGCUGGGUAGAGAAGGGCAGUGAGGAUGUAAGGCUUAUGAAGCCUCCCUCUCCUGACUACCAGGCUCCAGACACACAGCAGGAAGAGGAGGUGGUCAUGGCUGAACCUUCUACCUCAGAUUGCAUCAGAAUCGAGCCUGACACCACUGGUCCCAGCAGCAGCCAAGAAACAGUUGACUUACUAGUCCAGAUCCUUCGGAAUUGUUUGCGAUACUUCUUGCCUCCAAGUUUUCCAAUCUCCAAGAAUGAGCUGAGUUCCAUGAGCUCAGAAGGGUUGUUGGCAUUUCCCCUGGUGAGUUCAGUACUUCUAGAAAAAAAGAAUAUUUUAAGCAGUAUGAGGUGGGUCUGCAGAACCUGUGCAAUUCAUACCAGACACGUGCCGAUGCCCGGGCCAAAGCCUGUGAGGAAAACCUCCGGAACUUAGAAAGGAAGCUGAGGGAAACAGAGGAGAAACUGCAGAAGUUGAGGACUAAUAUCAUGGUCCUUCUACAGAAAGUGCAGGAGGACAUUGAUAUUAAUACAGAUGAUGAACUGGAUGCAUAUAUUGAGGACCUGAUCAUGAAAGGAGAUUGAGCAGCUCCAGUACAAGUCCUGGAGAAGUGCAGAAGAGCUGGCUGCUGCAAAGCGAGAUGUGAAUCUCUGUGCGGGUGGACUGAGGCAGGUGAUGAGGAGAGAGUUUUUUAGACAGUGCUCAUGUUGGUGUACAACUUGUUCCUGUGGCUGUACAUGAGAAACAUUUGUGCUGUUGGCAGGAAAGUUUUUAACUUUGUAGUUCUCUGAAUCUCUUCCUUUUGUUUAUAAAUAUUUAUUUUUAAAAGAAAUGGGAACUGUGCCUGAUACAAUGGGUGUUUUUAGUGAUGUAGAAGUGUGAGUACCCCUUUUGCAACUCAAGUAUAUUCAUAUGCUGAACCUGGGAGCUCGGAGCACCCUGCUUAGCUUACUGGUUCUCCAGCAAAAACCUGGCAGCAAUUAAAAAAUAAGCCUUGAGUUGUGGCAGAGGGUGUCAGGCUUUUUUUGUGGAAGAUACUGAACUUGAGGUAGAGAAAGCAAAGCCAUGAAUUGGAGCUAUAGAAAGGAGAUGUCCAUUUAUGAGUGUGAGUAGACGGGAUGGAACUUUGGUGGAACUUGGAAAUUUGGCAAUGGCACCUGUAAUGAGCUUCCUGAACAGGAGGUUGCUGCAAGUGGGUGAAACUGCCACCAUGGUAAUAGCUAAGAGUCUGAGGGUCCUUCUAGAAGAGGAUCACCUCCUGGACUGCUCACAGUGGGCUGUGAGCAUCAGAGGAAGAAUGCUGGCCUUCGGGUUCUCUGCUUGCAGUCACUUUAUCACUCACUUCUGCUGCUGUUUCUUUGAGACAUAAUUACAGCAACAGAGGAGCUCCUCGUCCACCUGACAAUAAAGUGACCUGUGUUCUAUUUUCACCUCCUCAGGUUUGUGUUGCUUUGAUCAGUUUGCUCUACCAGGUAAUUUUAUUAUUAGAGAUUUCUAAUUAUUAGAGAGAGGCUGUUUGGGGCCUUUGGAGCCGUACACCGCUGAUUGGCAUCUGGCACUGUGCCCGCAGCAAGGAAAACACCUGUCCCUUAUCCUUCAGCAGCCAAGUCGUGGUAGGCAACUUUUGGCCAAGGGAACUCGGUCAGAGUUUGUCAGCUGGCCAGCAGCUUCUCAGGCCUGCUAGGACAAAGUGUCUGUGGACUCCUGUUCGGAAACUGGAGUCCCCUGUGGGCUAGAUGGUUGUAAACAUGGUGUAAAGCAAGAGGUACCCACUAACAGAGAGGUUAGGUGGAAUGGACCCUGGGUGUUGACACCUGGAUGUGUAAUAGAUGUUUUGCAGCAAACCCUUCCAAAUUAAAUAUCUGUUACACCAAAAA